AACGAACGCUGGCGGCAUGCCUAACACAUGCAAGUCGAACGGGAUCCUGGUUUCGGCCAGGUGAGAGUGGCGGACGGGUGAGUAACGCGUGGGAACCUGCCCAGUGGUGGGGGAUAACUGCGGGAAACUGCAGCUAAUACCGCAUGAGCCCGAAAGGGGAAAGAUUGAUCGCCAUUGGAGGGGCCCGCGUUCGAUUAGGUAGUUGGUGAGGUAACGGCUCACCAAGCCUUCGAUCGAUAGCUGGUCUGAGAGGAUGAUCAGCCACACUGGGGACUGAGAUACGGCCCAGACUCCUACGGGAGGCAGCAGUGGGGAAUAUUGGACAAUGGGGCAACCCUGAUCCAGCAAUGCCGCGUGAGUGAUGAAGGCCUUCGGUUGUAAAG
This 383-nucleotide ribosomal RNA is filed under the name uncultured bacterium. RNAcentral describes it as "bacterial SSU rRNA". It matches the Rfam family "Bacterial small subunit ribosomal RNA", at positions 29 to 430 of the family's 1533-position model. The record is from RNAcentral.